This is a long non-coding RNA of Polypterus senegalus (gray bichir), 123 nucleotides long. RefSeq lists it as uncharacterized. The record is from RefSeq and is a predicted model, not a curated record. Lineage: Eukaryota; Metazoa; Chordata; Cladistia; Polypteriformes; Polypteridae. The transcript is spliced from 2 exons.
GAAGCAGACAAAAUCUGCCUUAUGGAUCAAAAUCUGUUGAAGAAGUUUAAGUUAUUCAGAACUGAAGUGAACAACAUGGAGAUUCCUCUGCUUGUGUUGGUCACUAAGAUAGAGCGAAGCCUG